Molecule: ribosomal RNA, 253 nt
Filed under: uncultured bacterium
Lineage: Bacteria
Description: partial 16S ribosomal RNA
Rfam family: Bacterial small subunit ribosomal RNA
Source: RNAcentral
UACGGGGGGGGCAAGCGUUGUUCGGAAUUACUGGGCGUAAAGGGCGCGUAGGCGGCCGAUCAAGUCAGAUGUGAAAGUCCUGGGCUUAACCUGGGGACUGCAUUUGAUACUGAUUGGCUUGAAUGCAGGAGAGGAUAGCGGAAUUCCCAGUGUAGAGGUGAAAUUCGUAGAUAUUGGGAAGAACACCGGUGGCGAAGGCGGCUCUCUGGACCGAUACUGACGCUGAGGUGCGAAAGCGUGGGGAGCAAACAGG